AUUGAACGCUGGCGGCAUGCUUUACACAUGCAAGUCGAACGGCAGCGCGGGCUUCGGCCUGGCGGCGAGUGGCGAACGGGUGAGUAAUGCAUCGGAACGUGCCCAGUAGUGGGGGAUAGCCCGGCGAAAGCCGGAUUAAUACCGCAUACGACCUGAGGGUGAAAGCGGGGGACCGAAAGGCCUCGCGCUAUUGGAGCGGCCGAUGUCGGAUUAGCUAGUUGGUGGGGUAAAGGCUUACCAAGGCGACGAUCCGUAGCUGGUCUGAGAGGACGACCAGCCACACGGGGCUGGGGACCCGGCCCAACCCCCUAGGGGGGGCAGCAGUGGGGAAUUUUGGAAAAUGGGGGCAACCCUGACCCAGCCAUGCCGGGUGGGGAAAGAAGGCCUUGGGGUUGUAAACCGUUUUUGUUGGGGAAGAAACCCUUUGGGCUAAUACCCCGGGGGGAUGACGGAACCGGAAGAAAAAGCACCGGCUAACUACGU
This 483-nucleotide ribosomal RNA is filed under the name uncultured bacterium. RNAcentral describes it as "partial 16S ribosomal RNA". It matches the Rfam family "Bacterial small subunit ribosomal RNA", at positions 28 to 506 of the family's 1533-position model. The record is from RNAcentral.